This is a long non-coding RNA of Capsicum annuum, 1537 nucleotides long. RefSeq lists it as uncharacterized. The transcript has 4 exons. NCBI's taxonomy places the organism in Eukaryota, Viridiplantae, Streptophyta, Magnoliopsida, Solanales, Solanaceae. The record is from RefSeq and is a predicted model, not a curated record.
UUAUAUAUGAUAUAUGUAAGUUUUGUAGUUCUCUUCACUGACUAACAUUUUAUUCCCAUUCUGCCUAUUCCAGCAUACUUCUCGUGACCCCGAGAAAGAAAGGGGCUCAUCAAGAAGCAGGGAAAAGGAGAGAGAGAGAGGAAGUGAUAAAGACUGGGACAGGGACAGGAGUAGAGAUAGAGACAGAGAUAAAAAAAGGGACAAAGAUAGGGAUAGGGAUAGGGAUAGGGACAGAGAGAGGGAGAAGGACCGUGAUCGUCAUUACAGAGAUCGUCAUAGGGAUCGGAGUUAUAGGAGAGAGGGAGAGGACCAGAGAUCGGGAUGAAGAUGAUCUUCAUCGAAUUCGGGAUUAUGAUAGGAUCAGUGGUUUUGAUAUGGCACCUCCUAGCAGUCCCUUGUUACCUGGCGCUACUGAUGUUACAGUGUUUGUGUGUUUGUCAAUGUUGGGCUACUUACCCCACUGUGCUGAAAAUGGGCGUGAGCCGACUUCUGUAGCUUAUAAAGGAAGAAUCGAUACAGGCCUGAAUGCUACUUCCUAUGGAUCUGCAAGAAAAUUACAACGAUUAACAGGUACACGUUUAAAUUUAUUAUAAAUAUUACUUUUUGGACGUAUCCCCUUUUGUGCAAAGUGGAAGAAAUUCUUCAGAUGUAAAAAAGCAAUUUGCAUAGGUGAGAACAUGCAUUUUUUCACAAGUUUUUCUACAAAUCUAGGCUGCUGAAUCAGUUGAUACUAUUCUGACAUUUUUUGUGCUUUUAAGUGAUCUGUUUCUAGUGAAAAUUAUGUUAUUUAUAUAUUAUGUAAUAUGGAUAUAACAUACUCAUUUGGAUGAGUUUUAGUUAUGUCAAGUAAAAAUAUUAGACAAACAGAUGAAGAAGAUAUUUAUCUAGUAUUCAUUAUGUAAUGACAUUUGAUAGUAGGUAGGUCCUUCAGGUUGUAUAUAGAUUAAUAUUAGGUGUUUGCUUUCAGAUUGACAAUAUAUAAAUAAACAUAAUAAAAUUUAAAAACUUAAUAAGAUACAAAUACCUAAUGAUGGAAUCCACAAUAUCUAAUAAAUUGCUAGAGUAAUAUUAAUAUACUAAAUUACAGAUAUAACAUGACAAACGUCAUUUAAAAGAAGCAAAUGAUAUCUCCUUUUCCUUUUUAAAACCUCUGCGAGCCUUGUUUCUUGACUGCUGAAAAUUGAUAUCUUCAUCAUCUACGACUGAUUUAACCUUUUUUGAUGAUCUACUCCUUUUUGCAUAAGUCUUUGUCACGACCCGAACUAGGGCCUGACCGUGAUGGACAUCCCAAACCAUGAAGGCCCGGACGUCCUACUCUAUCUGAUCUGGUAAUCAUGCACAACAUUCAUAUAAUAAAAGAAAAUGUGAAAUUAUAAUCUAAUACGGAAACAUGGUCAUCCUCUGAAUUCAGUUUAACAAUAAGGAAUGAAAUCCGAAAUCAACUUAACCACAUCUGAAAUAGUCUGCGAAAUCUAUACUACAUGAUCUAAAGACAACUGUCUGAAAAGCUGGGACAAGGCCCCCAGUAGACCAAAAC